RNAcentral lists this ribosomal RNA (19 nucleotides) under Melanoleuca paedida. RNAcentral describes it as "partial 28S ribosomal RNA". The record is from RNAcentral. Lineage: Eukaryota; Fungi; Basidiomycota; Agaricomycetes; Agaricales; Pluteaceae.
UUGACCUCAAAUCAGGUGG